This 390-nucleotide ribosomal RNA is filed under the name Theileria sp. OT3. RNAcentral describes it as "SSU rRNA". It matches the Rfam family "Eukaryotic small subunit ribosomal RNA", at positions 508 to 924 of the family's 1831-position model. The record is from RNAcentral. Lineage: Eukaryota; Apicomplexa; Aconoidasida; Piroplasmida; Theileriidae.
AUUGGGAUGAUGGGAAUUUAAACCUCUUCCAGAGUAUCUCUCUGGAGGGCAAGUCAGGUGCCAGCAGCCGCGGUAAUUCCUGCUCCAAUAGCGUAUAUUAAAAUUGUUGCAGUUAAAAAGCUCGUAGUUGAAUUUCUGCUGUAUUGCAUUUUCUCUUUUUAUAUGAGUUUUUGCAUUAUGGCUUAUUUCAGUAUUAAUUUUUUAUUAUUACUGAAUGUUUACUUUGAGAAAAUUAGAGUGCUCAAAGCAGGCUUUUGCCUUGAAUAGUUUAGCAUGGAAUAAUAAAGUAGGACUUUGGUUCUAUUUUGUUGGUUUUAGGUACCAAAGUAAUGGUUAAUAGGAACAGUUGGGGGCAUUCGUAUUUAACUGUCAGAAUGUGAAAUUCUUAGA